RNAcentral lists this ribosomal RNA (935 nucleotides) under uncultured archaeon. RNAcentral describes it as "bacterial SSU rRNA". It matches the Rfam family "Archaeal small subunit ribosomal RNA", at positions 1 to 922 of the family's 1478-position model. The record is from RNAcentral.
UUCCGGUUGAUCCUGCCGGACCCGACUGCUAUUUGGGUGAGAAUAAGCCAUGCGAGUUGAAUGGAAUACCUAAAUUUUCCAUAGCAAACUGCUCAGUAACACAUGAUCAACUUACCCUAUAGAGAAAAAUAACCUCGGGAAACUGAGGAUAAUGUUUCAUAGUUGAAAAGGCUUGGAAAAGUUUUUCAAUAAAAAGGAUAAGAAAAAUGGUUCUUAUCCGCUAUAGGAUAGGAUCGUGCUCGAUUAUGGUUGUUGGUGAGGUAAUGGCUCACCAAGCCGAUAAUCGAUAGGGGCCGUGAGAGCGGGAGCCCCGAGAUGGGUACUGAGACAACGACCCAGGCCUUACGAGGCGCAGCAGGCGCGAAACCUCAGCAAUACACGAAAGUGUGACUGGGUUACCCAAAGUGUUCAGUUUUGAACUGUGGUAGGUGAGUAAUGUCCCCUACUAGAAAGGAGAGGUCAAGGCUGGUGCCAGCCGCCGCGGUAAAACCAGCUCUUCAAGUGGUCGGGAUAAUUAUUGGGCUUAAAGUGUCCGUAGCCUGUUUAGUAAGUUCCUGGUAAAAUCGGGUAGCUUAACUAUCUGUAUGCUAGGAAUACUGCUAAACUAGAGGGCGGGAGAGGUCUGAGGUACUACAGGGGUAGGGGUGAAAUCUUAUAAUCCUUGUAGGACCACCAGUGGCGAAGGCGUCAGACUGGAACGUGCCUGACGGUGAGGGACGAAAGCCAGGGGAGCGAACCGGAUUAGAUACCCGGGUAGUCCUGGCCGUAAACGAUGCAUACUAGGUGAUGGCAUGGCCAUGAGCCGUGUCAGUGCCGUAGGGAAACCGUUAAGUAUGCCGCCUGGGAAGUACGGUCGCAAGGCUAAAACUUAAAGGAAUUGGCGGGGGAGCACCACAAGGGGUGAAGCCUGCGGUUCAAUUGGACUCAACGCCGGU